RNAcentral lists this transfer RNA (71 nucleotides) under Minisyncoccota bacterium. Its description in RNAcentral is "tRNA-Gly". It matches the Rfam family "tRNA". From Rfam's summary of the family: Transfer RNA (tRNA) molecules are approximately 80 nucleotides in length. Their secondary structure includes four short double-helical elements and three loops (D, anti-codon, and T loops). The record is from RNAcentral. Lineage: Bacteria; Bacillati; Minisyncoccota.
GCGAGUAUAAUACAGUGGCAGUAUAUUUGCUUCCCAAGCAAAAUACGCGGGUUCGAUUCCCGCUACUCGCA